RNAcentral lists this ribosomal RNA (484 nucleotides) under uncultured bacterium. RNAcentral describes it as "partial 16S ribosomal RNA". It matches the Rfam family "Bacterial small subunit ribosomal RNA", at positions 30 to 507 of the family's 1533-position model. The record is from RNAcentral.
AUUGAACGCUGGCGGCAGGCCUAACACAUGCAAGUCGAGCGGAUGAAGGGAGCUUGCUCCUGGAUUCAGCGGCGGACGGGUGAGUAAUGCCUAGGAAUCUGCCUUGUAGUGGGGGAUAACGUCCGGAAACGGGCGCUAAUACCGCAUACGUCCUGAGGGAGAAAGUGGGGGAUCUUCGGACCUCACGCUAUCAGAUGAGCCUAGGUCGGAUUAGCUAGUUGGUGGGGUAAAGGCCUACCAAGGCGACGAUCCGUAACUGGUCUGAGAGGAUGAUCAGACACACUGGAACUGAGACACGGUCCAGACUCCUACGGGGGGCAGCAGUGGGGAAUAUUGGACAAUGGGCGAAAGCCUGAUCCAGCCAUGCCGCGUGUGUGAAGAAGGUCUUCGGAUUGUAAAGCACUUUAAGUUGGGAGGAAGGGCAGUAAGUUAAUACCUUGCUGUUUUGACGUUACCAACAGAAUAAGCACCGGCUAACUUCGUG